CAAAUUGGUAUAAAACUGUAGGAGCUUACAAAGCAACGCAACUGACGCAACCGAGCAAGGUGCCUUAGUACCAAAUAACAAAUUACUGUUCAAAUAAUGAAAAAGAUAGUCGGCGACAGAAAGCCGAUUAAUAGGCUGUCGGUCGGUAAACGUCGGCGACAAAAAGUCGAUUAAUAGGCUAUCGGUCGGUAAGCGUCGGCGACAAACAACCGAUUAAUCGGCUAUCGGUCGGUAAAGCGUUGAUCAUUGGCAAGCGUAUGCGUGGAAAACAUUCAACUGAAAAUUAAAACCUCAACUGCGAGCCAUAACGCGGCUGAAAUUUCUAGCCCGAUCAAUAAAUCUGGCCGAAUGACUGCGCAGAAAUUCGCGUUUUCGCAAGAAGAUGCGAAGCAGACUUAACAAAACUGAAAUAAUCAACACGCUUUGCUCGUUGCUCGAGCUUUCGGCAAGCCUCUGACCGGCUAAAUAAUCGAAAUGUGAAACGUGAAAUAACUAUAUCGAAGCUGACGUACAAAUUUGAAUAUCUUUAUUCAUUGAUAUCUUCGCGCUGACAAUUAAAAGGUCGCAUACAGUUAACGUGGAUCGGAAUAUCGAUACAAACGCACCGGUUCCAAAUCAUCAGAAAUUGUAAACACACUUACGUACUUGCACGUGUAUCUGUGUCGAUAUCCCGAGCCCGGUGAUUACCUAUAUUAAAUAUCUAUCGUUAAUUCUUCGAAACCAGCUGCCCAUCGUUCAGACAGCUGUUUCUCUAAGUCUUGUUUUUACGUUUACAUUCGAGAAAAGGAGCUUGAUCUUGUCAAAGUUUGAAACGAAAGUACAAGUACUUAACAUCGUUACGUAGACGAUUAAUCGACAAAUUUGCUGACAGAUUAUUCGUUCUUUUAACUAGUUGUUGGAUGAUGCUUUAUGGAUGCAACAAAUUUUGUAACACAUAUUCUUACGCAAAGAAAUCAUCAUAAGAAUUUCUUUUUUUUUUUCUAUUUUCUUAAAGUACCUUCUUACUUCCGUUGAGAAUGGGUCGAUUAUGGUAGUUACAGUAAUUUUUCUGAUUUAACCUCAUUUUACGUUUUAUAUCCAGACGCCUGUAAAACGAUUUCGUCGACACGCAAAAUUUCUUCGAAAUUGAUCGAAAUUGUCAAGUGUCUCUGCAGUUGAAUCCUCCAUGUGUUCGAUAUAUUUCGUUCGAAAUAUAUUAAUUUGAAAUAUUGUUUCACAUUAACUCUGCACUAACACUAAUUCUUUAAAAAUUGUUAAAAAAUUGUUUACAAAUUGCCACUCUGCAAAGAACGUCGAUACAAUAAGAAAAAGAAGAAGAAUAUGGGGCAAUGUGGAACUGCCGUUUAUUUUGCAUCGCUGUGCUUCCUGAAAUGCUGAAAGCAGACAGACGUUUGCACGACACCAAUAAGUUACAGUGAGUUGAUGGCGCCCCCAUGCGUUCACCGACCAUUUUUCUGUUUCUAACGAUCCUGAUCUUAUCUUGUACCAUCGUUUGAACAUCAACAGGUAAGUGACUGUUCUCGAUCGAAUGUCUGGAAUAUUAUCAAGUGAGCAAUUGCUUGAGCUAUUUAAACUAUGAACGUUGUUCGUAAGCGAAUUAAGACAUCGAGAUAAUUUUUUACAUAAAAUUUCUGUACUUCUGUAAUUAUGAUAUACGUCCAAAAGAAGGACAGAGCGACAAAGUGGAAACAAUUGUACAAAAGAAAUAGCUGCUAUGGUAAAGCAGCUGCAGCCUUUGAUGUUGUCAAAACCACAUUGCACAGAACCCUGGGUCUAUCUCGAGAAUAUUCUCAACCAAUAGAAGCCUUCCAAACUGUGUUUUCGCGGAAGUAUUAGUAUUUCGUUUAAAAGAAAUGGAGAGCCUAUUAUUUGGUCUAACAACAAUGAACACACCCAAAUAUUAGAUUGUUCCAAAAGCUUCUUUCGUUUAAUAAGGAAAUACUAGAUGCACACCAUUCUUUGUUUUAUAUUAUUUUAUUGAAUUAUAAGUAAUCUGUUCUAUUGGGACAAAAUAAUUCGAUAAAAGAAUAUUAUAAAACGAAAAAUGUUGCACAUUUAUUUCCUUGGAAAAAGAAGGAAACCUUUGGAACAACAGGUGCGUCUCUUACAAGACACUGACACUGUCUUUAAAAUUAUUUUUUCUUUUUUUUUUUUUUACACUUUCCGUGUCAAGUUUCGAAAGUUUAUUUCAUGAUAUUUCCAUAAACAGAUAUUGAUAGUAUGUGUAUAUUUUUUACAGAUCAAUUAAUAAGAUCAAAAUAUCAAGAAAUAAAUUUUGAGGCAAUUUUUUCCUAGCGUUCCCGUGUCUCCCCAAUCCUCCGUUUUGCGUAAUUGUGCAGGACACAAUUGGAAACACAAGAAUAGAAUUAUGCGACGAUAGCAAUGAAAAUACUAUUACAAAAGCUAGAUUUGUCCAUGGAGGAUUGAACAGUAUUCUUAAAUGAUAUCGAUCUUGAUUAAAGUGCCAAAAAAAAACUUUUGGCUAUAUUGCUCCUUAAACGUGAUUUUCAUUCCAUGAAAUAUGACUUGAAACGUUUUCCUAACAUUUCGAAUGUGUAGCGUUGUGAGAUUUGAAAUGCACACGGUAAAUUAGGAAAAUAUUGAUCGUGUAAGAAAGAAUCAUCCAACAAAUAUUCACAUAUUUUAUUAGAAAAAACGACUUACGGAGUAAUUAUUGAUAGAUUAGUGAUAUAAUCAAUCGUUAACCAAAAAUAUCUACACUCGUCUGGCUUUCAGAAAUAAAUGUAAGCAUAUAAAAAUCGUCGUAAAGUCGAAUUUAAAAAAAAAAUACGGUCGUUUACGUUCGCGAUUGUCAACUUAAAGAAUAAUAUCGAAGAAUUAAAUAAGAUAGGAACUCAAAAUAACGCAGAAACAUUUGAGUGUUUCGUUAGAGCGCGUUUAACAGAAUUUUAUACAGAAAAUUCGCGGACAUGUGAAACUUGUUCCGAAUAAACGACGUUCGAUCGGACAAUCAUUUAAUCAAACACUUUAUUAAGUAUCGCGGUAAGAAUUUUUCUCGGUUAAUCAAUUAACCAAAGAAACGAUCAAUUAGUUAGCUAAGCGAUUUCAUGGAGAAUCGAGAAAGGAACUUUGUCAAUCGAUUUUUUAAACAAUUUGCAGUUAAAUUCGUUUGAACUUAAUUCACAUCCGUUACCUUCAACAAUAAAUAAUUAAUUCGUAUACAAAGAAGGAUUGACGUUUAAUACGUUUCCAUUUCUAUUCUGACAAACUCAUAGAAGCUUAAUUAUUUAUUGUUUACAAUUAUGUGGAAUACAAAACGUUUUACUCGUCGACACUUCGCAGUUUCGAACAUAAUGUUUUCUAUAAAUUACGUUCGCAAAAUAACGUAGAAAAAUACACGCAGCUUCUGCGUCUCGCAGCGAUAAACAAAACGUUACAUCGAACUGCAAAACAUCCAUACAGUUGUUGCUCUCUGUUCUUAUCUCGUAGUUCAAUCUGUACAGAUAAUUGCUCGUCUUAAUUCUUCAAUUAUUCAGCAAUUACUUAGUAAAAUAUUGUACGACACAUUCUUCGAAUAUCCACCUUUCUGUUACGAUCGUAACAAAUCGUAAAGAUUCAGAGUGUUUGUGCUACAAGUAAAUGGGCAAUGAUCAACUCUCAAAGAGACAACACUAGAAAUGCAAUGAAAAAUGCACUUAUUAGUACUUUAAUAAGCUAAUACUUAUCUCCUAUUUAUCACGUAUCCGUUUACGAAGUUAGACAGAAAGUAAUAAAAUAAUACUACGAUGAAAGCUACAAUGUCAUACUUUAAAAUAAAUUACACAGUUUCAAGCAAAUUAAUUGAUUUAGGACAUCCACAAUGGUUUUCUGAAUUCAUCGUAGUUGAUCUCUUAGAAUUAUCGAUGAUUUUAUAUACUGUUUACGUUUCGUUCACUGGGUAUUCUGAAACCUAGUAUUUCAGGUUAUGUGCACAUUCUUUAUGGACCAAUCGGUGCCUCUGACCGGCCAAUGAGAACCGUCUUCUGGUCACCCGGUCCCGACUGGACCAAUGAGAACGGCCUUCCAAUGAUUGGCUAAUCAGAGACACCGCUUUCACCAUAGCAAGUACAAAACAUAACCUAAAGCGGUGAGUUUCAGGGUAAACCUAGAGAAGUUCUUAAAUGUCGGCUCACAAAGUAAUAUACAAUGUAAGUCAGUUGACAUGACAGUCAUGAGUCAUGUGACAACUAAGACAAAGGUCGUAGUAGACCAAAGAAUACAGUACACCAAAAUAAGAAGGAAUUUCGAAUUGCAGCUUAAUUUGCAACGCUAGGCAUUGCUUAGAUCGACAAUUUCCUGGCGAAUGGUCGUGCUGGUCUUAUUUCCUGACCAGCUCGCUUUCCGGAUCUGAAUCCAUUCGAUUAUUAAUUCUGAGACGUUAGAAAUCUUUUGUUCAUAAAACUUCAAUCGACAGUGCUGAAAUUCUUCGUCAGCGUGACGACCAAAGUUGCCGACAAAUCCGCGUAAACAUUUCGACGAUAUAUGACGCGAUGCAUUCAUGCUUCUAUGUGAGCUGUAUCUCUGAUCACUUGGAGCAAUUGGUCUGAACAUAGGUAAGCGACCAUUACAAUAUAAAAGAAGCUGUCACUCGAAAACGAGAUCAUAUCAGGUAUAUACGUUCACGCGGACUUUUCUUCUUAUUUUAGUGUGCUGAAGCAGUCGCUGCUGCAUUAAUACACCCUGUGAACAGCUACAUACAUAUGUAUGUGGCCAAUGUUCUCAGUAUGCCUAGCAAUGUGAUCUUUGAUCUUACGAAGUCUACCGGCGCUCGCUGUAUAACAUACAACUGCUGCAUAUGUAACAUAAUUGUAUAACGUGUUACACAGAAGUGUUGUGUAACGCGUCUUUUUUUAAGGCGUUAUACAACUUUGCUGUACAAAAGUCCAAUAGCACGCAAGCAUGAGCUGAUUCUCUAUGAAAAAGUAAGAAGAAAACGUGGAUAAAAAUACAUAGAACGGUGGCUAAAGCGGAAUAUCCUCAAUAGGAAGGAAAAGGAGGUAGCCAAUUGCAAGUGGAAAAUGCAGAAAAGGAAAGAAAUCGUUUGGUAGAGGAAAAAGGAAAAGGUGUUCUACGUAAUUUAAAAAUAGCCGCUUUAAAACACUCAUUAAAAGAUUGCUAGUAGAAACUACUGUUACUCCAAAACAAAAUCAUAUCGAGCAUAUAUUUACAUAAACUUUUCUUCUUAUUUUAGCGUGCUAAAUCAGCUUCUGCCGCGAUUCACACAUGUUCUGACUCAUCCUGCGUAACACGAUUGAUAAACAACUACGAUGAAUUCAAAGCAAGCUACACGUUUAGAUAAAAAAUUAUUCGUUUACAAGCACAUACAUGUUCCUUUUUUGAAAUUAAAAUUAACCGUACAUACAAGGAAUAGUUGAUUUCGGCAGAUACACCGCAAUUAUCUGUCUAGACAGACUCCUAAGUACAAAAUUGUAUUUUCAUUUGUCAUUCACAUUAGUAUAGCGAAGAAAGGAAAGGAAUCGAUUAUUCAGUCGUUCAUGUGAAUAGUUAUGAAUCAUUCUUAUUUUUAUAUACCUACGCUAUGUCACUCGGGACAGUUUAUAAUAAUAGAUUCUAAUAAAUAAAUUUCCUUAGAUUAAAGCGUGAAAAAUUUCUACAUCAGAAGCGAGAAAAUCCGAAGAAAAUCCACUCGGAGUGUAUUUCCUCUAUGUACAUGCAAUGUUUUGUUCUGAAUGAGAAAAUACAUAAAAAAUUUCAAUUCCAAUUCCUUCAUUUCUCUUCACUUCAUAUUGUUCACUCCUUGUAGAAAUUUUAGAAAUAACCUCAAUACAAAUACGAGCGCGUAAUUUACGGAAUUCUUUAAUUUCUUUAAUUAUUCGAACGAAUUCGUUUCAUAGAUUUCUUGCAAAAAAAAAAAAGGUCAAUUUCGCAUUUUUGAAAAAUAUUUCUAUCUGGAAUGUCACAUUGCCGUUAAAAUGAUUUUUGUGCCCGAUAAUUUCCCAUUUGAAUCUCCACAGAAAUUGAACGUGAUAAUUCCCGUGUUUAUUGAACAAGACUUUUCCUUUUAUUUUCGUUUUGCAAAAAAUCUAUAAACCCGUUUGUUAUUCGUGUUUCUCGUAAAAAUUCUACAAUCUAAUUUUUAUGACUUUUCGGUAAAAACUUUUGCAUCUAAUGUUUGCAAUUUUUUGCAAAAAUCUGGGAUUACAAUAUUUGCAACGACUCCUGCAAAAUUGUCAAAGGCUUAAAAUUUAAUAUUCAGCGUUCCCCUCUGAAUACGUAGUUGCAAAAAAAUUGCAAUUCUAACUUUCUUCAGUUUCUUUGCGAAUGUUCUAAAAUCUAAAUGUUCUUAAUCUUCCUGCAAGACACUUCUCCCUAGUUCUCCCUCUAAAGUCAUACAUUUUUGCAGAAACCUGACAAACAUUUGAACGUAGUAGUCUUCAUUAAUUUCUUUAUUAUUAAGAAUAAAGAAUAUUAUUAAUAGUAAUAAUAGUAUUAUUAAUUUCUUUAUCAGUAGCAUCCUCUAUUUUCCGGAGAAACAUACUUCCUUUUUCAAAAAUUCCCUAAACUACCAAAAAUCCCAGUUUUUCCCUCGCCUCUCGUUAUAUUCAUCGCGUGACUUUAGUAAAAAUUAGUAGCCCCAAUUGCUUCUCCUUUCGAUACUCAAAAAUCUCCACAUACCAUGUGCUCGAAUGUUUUUCCAAAAAGAACUCUGAACAAUAACAAUGUUCUGCUUCAAUGUUUACAUUAAAAAUCGCUGAAAAAAGUUGCGAGGAGAUUUAAUGUUUUGCAAAGAAGCGCAACAAUGUACGCUUUCUGCAAAAGCAAUUUCCGAUAAUAUUUGUCAGAAUGUUUCUCGUGAAAAUGUCUGCAAUUAGGAUUUUUCGCUUUCACACGAAACUUGUCUCACUUUUUGUUGAAAGAAAGUGAAAAGGACUUCACCCAAGUAGAUUUGCAAAAAACGUUGCAUCAUGUGAUUUGUAUUACUUUGGAUUCUCGUUCGGCGACUUAAUUUUCACUGAAAUUAGCAACCGGCCUCUUAUCCAACGCAUAAAGCAAUAAUAUACAGCUCGGCUAUUAGCCAGGUAAUUUUUACUUUACUUUUAGAUAAAUAUCAAUAGAUAGGUAUCUUAUUUAAUAGUGCUUUAUCUCAUAUUAAAAUGGUUCAUAUCAACUUGUUUUUUUUUUCUUUUUAGAAGUUAUAUUCAAAUGAAAUAUAUAUUUGAAUAAACGAAAACCAUAGCAAGACUGAUAAUUCAAGAGAAAUAUUUACACGUCUAAUUUAAAGCUAAUUAUGAUAUUCCUUCAAAUCGUACUAAACUGUAAGUACGAUUUACGACGAUAAAGAAUGAAAUUAGAAAUUUCAUUAAGAUGAAAAUAUUUCAGUAGAUUGUAUUUGUAAUUGAAAUCCAUUGUAUAAUCAAGGAAGAGAGAGAAAGAAAGAGAGAGAGAGAGAGAGGGAGGGAGAGAGGGAGAUGUUUCCCAUAAUUGAAAGACCUGAAUUUUAAAUUAAAACUCGAAAUGUAAUUACACAUCUUUCACGAAAAAAUUACUCCAUUAUAUUUAUUGGGUUUUUACCCAUUCCACAUAAUUAAUAACUAAAGUGAAUCAUUAACAAAUGACGAGAAAUAUAAAUCGUGAUUUAAAUUACAAAUCUUCUUGAUUAAUUUAAUUGAAGAUUCUUUUCGCAGAAAGUAACCUAAUUUCCAAUAGUAGCAAUUAAUAAUAGUCAUUUUCAAUGCUCUAUGUUCGUAUUCUGUCUCUCAUUAGGAAAUCGCGAACCUAAUCGGCAAAUGCAAUCUAUAUUUUCGUAAUUCGAUCAUAUUUAUCAUCCUAACUUCGCUAAAUAUAAAAACUAAUUGGAACGAGAGGAGUAAUUAAGACUAAGAAAAAAAAACAAAGAAAAAAGAAAUCACAUUUCCAAUCGAACGUUUAACAAACACAGGACUCACAGCAUUAUUCGAUCUAUUAAUUGUUUUCGUACAAUUCGCGUAACACGUUUAAUUAAAAGUAGCUAUAAAAAUCACAUUAUCGAUAAUUUCACGUAAAAAUUAAAGAAGAAAAAAAACACAUAAUUAUAGAAAAUUGCACGAAAGUUGCAUAUAUCCCUAUGCUUUCACUUUAAUACUGAUGCACUAACUACACUUACGCUCGAAAGAUUGCACUAUCGACUACCUCACCUUUACAGUUAUAAAAAUCACUAUUAAAAAAUAUAGUGAAAUACUGGUCGUUUGAGUACGCUAUCGAGUAGAAAAUUCCUUACGUUAGAUACAAGAGUGAUAGACGUACAUAUUUUAAAGAAGAAGAAGAAGAAGAGAUAGGAAAGAACGAAGAGAUAUAAGAUUAAUUUUUAAUACGUAAUAUUCGUAAUUAGUAAGUUGUACGGUCGCAAUUUCAGUGAACUAUACUUCUCUUACCUACGAAAUUCUUCAUACAGUAAUUCUCAUUCUCGUAUUGCAAAAUUUAUCUGUUCGUUUAGUAUAUCACCUAGUUUCACCUUUAGUUUCUCUUUCCCCUUGGUUCUACACUUUGUGUCAAAAAAAGAAAAUAAUAAUAAACGUGCGUUAUACAUUCAACGAAUCUACUAUAAGCCUGCUGCCUUUUUACAAUAAGCUUGGCUAUUUGGUCUUUCAAAUUUUUCAAAUUUUCCAGCAAACCAUCAGCAUUUGCAUCGAUCAGUUAACCAAUCCGAGAGCUCAUCAGACUGUUCUCGGAAUUGUCAGGUAAAGCUAUCCAAAAACGCUAUGUACAAAUUUGUAUUCUCAACCCUUUGCACUCCUGUGUCGAGUGUGACUCGACAUCAGCAGUUCCGUUGUCGAGUGUCAGUCGACAUUCUUUCAGUGCCACCUUUUUUUUUGUGAAACGUGCAAAAGAAAAGGAGGAUUACAUCCUGGAAAUUGUUUCAAGAUAUAUCAUACACUUAAAUACCAGUUUUGUUCACAUUAUUGUUGUAUUUUCUAAUUUUUAAGUGAACUUCUUUCUUCCUUUAUUUAUUUAAAUUGCCUUAGUUUUUAGUUAAAGUAAAUAAAACACUUAAAAGCGUUAGCAGAUGCUGCUAACGAAAUUGAAAUGAAAUUCUGAGUGCAAAGGGUUAAAGAUCAAGCACACUCGACUAUCGUCGUUUAAUCAGUUGCUUCUUAUCGAACACACGGUAGAACCUGCAGCACCCUAACAUCCAUGCAAAUAUUUUCAUCCAAAUGCAAAAAUUAUGCAAAUAUCCGUCCAAUAAUUUACCUACUGCGUGUUCAGUAACCAACGACAUCGUCAGUCCAAUUUGUCGAAUGUUCACGUACAAACAAAUCGUAAAGACUCGAGGAUGAUAUAAAUGAAAAAAGAAAAAAAAAUCAAAAGUAACUCGAAUGCUCUACUUUCAAAAGUAUUGUUUCAUGAAUUUAUAUAUAUAUGAGUAUACAGGAAAGUGAUAUGAAAUUGUAGACAGGAUGUAUAACAGUGAAGUAUUGUUCAUGGACUAAUACUUUUGAAAGUAGAGUAUACUUGAACAAUACAUGGAACAAUACUUUUGAAAGUAUAUAUAUAUAAGUAUACAGGAAAGUGAUACGAAAUUGUAGACAGGAUGUAUAAUAGUGAAGGUCAGAAGUAUUGUUCAUAGAACGAUACAUGGAACAAUACUUUUGAAAGUAUAUAUAUAAGUAUACAGGAAAGUGAUAUGAAAUUGUAGGCAGGAUGUAUAAUAGUGAAGGAUAGAACUAUUGUUCAUGGAACAAUACUUUUAACAGUAGAGUAUACUGGAACAAUACAUGGAACAAUACUUUUGAAAGUAUAUAUAUAAGUAUACAAGAAAGUGAUAUGAAAUUGUAGACAGGAUGUAUAAUAGUGAAGGUCAGAAGUAUUGUUUAUAGAACAAUACUUUUAAUAGUAGAGUAUACUGGAACAAUACAUGGAACAAUACUUUUGAAAGUAUAUAUAUAAGUAUACAGGAAAGUGAUAUGAAAUUGUAGACAGGAUGUAUAAUAGUGAAGGUCAGAAGUAUUGUUUAUAGAACAAUACUUUUAAUAGUAGAGUAUACUGGAACAAUACUAUUGAAAGUAUAUAUGUAAGUAUACAGGAAAGUGAUAUGAAAUUGUAGACAGGAUGUAUAAUAGUGAAGGUCAGAAGUAUUGUUUAUAGAACAAUACUUUUAAUAGUAGGGUAUACUGGAACAAUACAUGGAACAAUGCUUUUGAAAGUAUAUAUAUAAAUAUACAGGAAAGUGAUAUGAAAUUGUAGACAGGAUGUAUAAUAGUGAAGGAUAGAACUAUCGUUCAUGGAACAAUACUUUUGAUAGUAGAGUAUACUGGAACAAUACUUUUGAAAGUAUAUAUAUAAGUAUACAGGAAAGUGAUAUGAAAUUGUUAUAUAUAUGUUAAAGUCAGAUUGGCAUUUUGGGGCGUUCUAUGAACCUUUACUUACUUUACCGUCGCGAAUGUAGCUAAUAUUUAUCAGUACGAAUGUGAGCACUACAAGAGGCUAUGAGUAAUGACGAUAGGAUGAUGGUGACAACGAAUUCAGGUUCGAUAACGAAUCCACGGUCCAUGGGAGGACAAGUAUCAACGUAAUACUCGAUUCGGGUAACUUCUCGAUAACUCAAUCAGCAAUUCGUCCAACGACUAACUGACAAACUAACUCUCCCUUAAUCCAAAAGAAACUGCCCUUAUAUACUCCUGUCCCCACUUCUCGGGUCAAUCUUUGUUUUUAAGGAGAGCCAUAUAAUCAUUUCGUACCUCUGUCAGGUACACGUCCUUCCCGUGACCGUGGCUACGUUCAGUGACCCGCUAUGUCACUUCAAGCCCGAACCCAUCGUCAUAAAGUCAGAUUGGAACAUUAAAACUAUUCCUUAUUUUUAUUACUUAAGUGCAGCUAUAGUAAAAGUCUGGACUAGAGUAUUGGGGUUUUUCCCAACAUUCCGCACGGGAAAUCCCGCUGUCCUUCCAUCUCCGACAUAUAUAUUAUAUAAUAUAUGUAAUAUAUAUAAUAUAUAUUAUAUAAUAUAUGUAAUAUAUAUUAUAUAUAUUACAUAUAUUAUAUAAUAUGUAUUUUUAUUAUAUAUAAUAUAUAAUAUAUAUAUAACAAUUUCAUAUCACUUUCAUGUAUAUAUAUAAUGUGUUUAAAUAAUAAAAUAAAUAAUAACAAAAAAUGAAUAUCUUGUGUGUAGUAAGCAAAUUAGGCAGAGGGCAAACGCAUUGCACUGAGCGUUCAAGGGGAAAGAAAGCUGCUGAGAGAAGUCGGAAGAAGGUGUGGAAAUGUUGCAAAAAUCACGAACGUUUACAACGUUAAGAGACAUACAAUUAAUAUAAUAUAAAUUAACUGUAAUAUGAUUGAUAUAAUGAAAAGCAAAAACGUGCGUGUUUUGAGAAGUAGAAAAACUUCGAUGGACUUGAAAAAUAAAUAUCUAUGCUCUGUUGUAUAGUAAUACUAAUAAAUCAGCAACAAAGAGACGCUAAUAUGUAGCGUAUGAAGAUGUUUUGGAGUUUGGAUAAAUCAUAUCAUCAACGUUUCAAAUCCUCGUGUUGAAAAAAGGAAGAUUACAGUGAAACUGACGACGACAAAAGCCUUCUUAUUUGGAAACGUUUUCGACAUUAGAGAAAGAUAUCUUAAUUAGACGAUUUGAGGCAUAAACAGAAUAUAAUUGGACUACAUAACGCGUCUAAAGACAACAUUUUUCCUGAUGGAAUUCAUCAUUCGUUUGAUUGAUCUCAAUUGAAAAAUAAUCGAACAAUUAGCGUUAUUAUUUUUUAAGUAGAAUUUUUUGAAUUUCAUCGAGGUGAUUGGAUUAUUCAUUCGUGUGAUAAUAUAAUAUUUGAUGUUAUCAAAACUCUCUCAGCUAAUUCGAGUACUGCAGGUUCCACUGUAUUUCAUUCGAUGCAAAUUUAACUUUCGCCAGCUACCUUUUUACAUUAAGCUUCGCUGCUCGCAGUAUUUCAAGAGAAGCUUUCAAAUUUUCCAGCAAGCCAUCGACGCGUUUACAUUGACCAACCUGCCAAAAUGAGCUGAUCAGAAUUUUGCAAAAUUAUCGAAAUAUCAUACGGUCAAAGAGAAAUUGUAAUUCUUAAAAAGAGAGCAGUUUUAACUUGCCUUAUUUAAUUAGUUUCUCUGUUAUCGUAUACUUUAGUUUGAGCGUAGAGUUCAGUUUCAAGCGCUUGACGCUUCAGCAAGCAGCUUAACUCGACAAGCAACGUAACUUCCUUUUUUGACACGUCAGAGAAAUUUUGUCGAACCACGUAAAUUCUUCGUAAAACUUCAAUUUGACUAGAUUUUAUCCUUAUGAAUAAUUAAACAAGCUAACUACCAUCCUUUUCCAAAUAGAAAAACUAUAUAGCGUUCCGAACGAGAAACCAAUCCUCCUUCCUCUUUUCGUUAACCCUAAGCCCUAACACUAUGGUUAAUUACUAGCUGUCGAGUACACGAAUCGCUGUAAUUUACAAUAUGUACAACAACUAAGCGAAUGCACUUUCCUUCGUAAACAAAAGGGGUCAGAUAGGACAAGAACGAAGAGAAACUUAAAAAUUGAAUGGGAAAAACUCGUCCCAAUGCAUCCUGCGAACAUUUCGAAUGAUCGUUAGUAAUAUUCGGAAUAAAUAACGGGGAAAAUAAAUAAUAAGCGAAACGAAUCGAUAUUAAUGAAAAAACGGGAAUGUUAACAUCCGUAGCUACUCGUCGAAUCUCUGACUAUACUCUUUUGUUUCUUCGACUGAUAAAAGGAAAUCUAGUUGAAUCGAAAAUUAGAAAGUUCGCGGCUUUCGAAUAGAAACCUGCAUAGUAAAAUUUCGAAUGAAAUGAUUGCAACCUUAAACCUAUCUGGAUCAGGACAAUUUCAUUAGUUUGCUCUAAAUUAUUACCUCGCCGGUAAUAGAAAAUUUGUCCAACUUUCUAAAUCCCAGAUUCCUUGACCCUUUCAAGUUUCAAAAAUAUUUCUAAUUUCUAGCCCGACGUUUCCCCAUCUUUUUCUUUUUCCUUUCUUUUCUUUUCUUUUUCUUUUUUUUUCUUUCUUUCUUUUUCCACUUCGGAUUUGUCAUGUUCGCUCCUCGAACUCGAACAAGCAUCUCAACUUUCCAAUUUUCAAAUCGCCCACCGAUCAAAUAAACCGUUUGAAAAAGAAACACGGGGAAUGAAUGGUGCGAAAAGGUGCUUUCUCCAGACUUAGACGUUUCCCAGAUAACGAAUUUUCCUGUAAUUUCUUCGGUUUUGCCAUUAAUUUUUUUUCGUAGUAAUUUGUUGAUUAUUCGGCGGUUUUUUUUUUGUUUCUCUUUCUCUUUGUUUGGGAAAAAUGGAAAAACUGCAUUGUCUAUUGGAAUGUCUCAAUUAAUCAAUUAAUCAAUCAAUCAACUAAUCGGCUGAUCGUUAAUAUCACUUUUAAUGCCCAGCGAAAGAUUGCGAGUUAGAAAAAUGACUUCCCUGUAAUUGUCUGCUUCGUUUCGUUUCCUUUUUUUUUUUUUUUUUGCCUCAAAUCAUCGAUUCUCAGUUUCUUUGCUUUACUCGUUCUAUGUAUUCUAUCUCUGUGGCUCGCUGUUUCAUUCUGCCUAUGUGCUGUAUGUGUGUGUAUGAUAUAUGUAUAUGAACAUGAAUCUCGGUCUAGGGAGCCAAUCGAUCGAUUAUUCUGUAAACAAAUAAUCAAAUUGCUACCACAACUGAUCCUCUGUCGUGAAACAAAGACCGUGUAAUAUUUCUGCAAUGGAAAUAUUAUCGAUCUUUUCGAACUAACAUUUUCAUCAAAAUCUAUCAUAUCGAAUCGUACAAUGUGAUAUUUCAAUUUAGAAGAACACAAGAAACUGAUAAUGUAGGAAAAAUAUUUACAGUUUACGCUUUCAACGAAUCAUCGUAUUAUACGUUGCAACAAAGUGAAUCGAAAGGUAUCGAAUCGUACGAUGUAAUAUUCAAUUAAAAAAAGAAAAGUAUAUCCGAAUAAAGAAGAACGCAAGAGACUGAUAAUGUAGGAAAAAUAUUUACAGUUUACGCUUUCAACGAAUCAUCGUAUUAUACGUUGCAACAAAGUGAAUCGAAAGGUAUCGAAUCGUACGAUGUAAUAUUCAAUUAAAAAAAGAAAAGUAUAUCCGAAUAAAGAAGAACGCAAGAGACUGAUAAUGUAGGAAAAAUAUUUACAGUUUACGCUUUCAACGAAUCAUCGUAUUAUACGUUGCAACAAAGUGAAUCGAAAGGUAUCGAAUCGUACGAUGUAAUAUUCAAUUAAAAAAAGAAAAGUAUAUCCGAAUAAAGAAGAACGCAAGAGACUGAUAAUGUAGGAAAAAUAUUUACAGUUUACGCUUUCAACGAAUCAUCGUAUUAUACGUUGCAACAAAGUGAAUCGAAAGGUAUCGAAUCGUACGAUGUAAUAUUCAAUUAAAAAAAGAAAAGUAUAUCCGAAUAAAGAAGAACGCAAGAGACUGAUAAUGUAGGAAAAAUAUUUACAGUUUACGCUUUCAACGAAUCAUCGUAUUAUACGUUGCAACAAAGUGAAUCGAAAGGUAUCGAAUCGUACGAUGUAAUAUUUCAAUUAAAGAAAAGAAAAGUAUAUCCGAAUAAAGAAGAACGCAAGAAACUAAUAAUGUAGGAAAAAUAUUUACAGUUUACUCUUUCAACGAAUCAUCGUAUUAUACGUUGCAACAAAGUGAAUCGAAAGGUAUCGAAUCGUACGAUGUAAUAUUCAAUUAAAAAAAGAAAAGUAUAUCCGAAUAAAGAAGAACGCAAGAGACUGAUAAUGUAGGAAAAAUAUUUACAGUUUACGCUUUCAACGAAUCAUCGUAUUAUACGUUGCAACAAAGUGAAUCGAAAGGUAUCGAAUCGUACGAUGUAAUAUUUAAUUUAAAAAAAGAAAGGUAUAUCCGAAUAAAGAAGAACGCAAGAAACUGAUAAUGUAGGAAAAAUAUUUACAGUUUACGCUUUCAACGAAUCAUCGUAUUAUACGUUGCAACAAAGUGAAUCGAAAGUUUCUGGCAGAUGUGUUUUAGAUCGAAAAACUCAAGACAGGCGUCACUCGAUGUUAUUAACAAACGAAGUAAAAAUAUCAAUUAAUUGAAUUGGACUAACAGUAAAGACUCCAUAAUUGCUCGCAAGUAGCUGCCGCUUAAUUGCUGCUUGCUUAUCCCCACCAAUGGCGGGAUUCCCCUUUGAACCAUCGACGCGAGUAACGUGACGCGUCAACUUCUCUUCGACGCUAAUUUCACGGGACGCGCGUUCUUUUGACGCAUUUCGAAUUUCACGAGGAAAAUUACACAAGCCGUGUACGUUCUUCUUGUACGGUUUCUACCGAUUUCUAUCCAUUCGACGAGACGAAUAUACAUGGAAAUUCAUUUUCCUCGAAGCUUCUCUACCUGGUGUACCUAUCUCUACGGAUACGCGUCGAUUUGACAUAAUCGUAAAGUAAGUUUGUAAAUUGGCUUAGAAAGAUAAUAAUAUAAUUGAAUAAUAUCAAUAAUAAUUUAACAAUAUAAUUAGAAAUAUGAAUACGAUAAACGAGCCAGCUGUUGACGAAAGUGAACGCCGGAAGUGAACACGAAGAAUACAUCGACCAUACUUGCGACAAAAUUUCUCAAAUUUCUCAAAAAAAAAUUUCUCAAAUCUCGAGUGGAUGAAAUGCUGUUUCACCUUGUGUAUUCACCUUGGAAAACCUUAGGCAGAACAGAGCAAUAAGCUCGGAAGAAGAAACGAAACUCGGUAUAUGAGUCGCGUAAUUGCAAAAAUCGUGCAACCAAUUGCAGUUGCAGCUGUUCAAAUUCAACUUGUCGCUUCAAAUUCUCACAAACUGCCCUUCUCUAUGCGUCCGAAUAUGUCUAUUGGCUUGGCAGCUAAUUGAUUGCGGAUUUUGUCAUUAAGUGGUAGCGACAGAUAGCGUCAGCAGUUCCACUUGAUCAUAGAAACAUGUUGCAACAUAGAAAAUGUUGCACCGAAGCAGAGACACGUGGUGUCUUAAAAAGUGAUUGGACAAUGUCAAUGGCUAAGUCAGUUGCUUUUAUUGCGAUUUUGUAAGCUCAGGCAGCAUACGAAGCAAAGAUACUGAAAGGUCUUUAUUUAUGGCGCGGAAAAUGGCCAGUCGCUUUCUUCUCGACCACAAUGCCAAGAGAUGAAUUGAUGCAAAUUCUUCGAUUUGAUAAAAGUUUGAUAAAAGAAGAGAACGAUUGGAAGGUUUACGUACAAAAUUCAGCACACGUGUAAAAGAUGCGCGGAAUAUAUAUGAUGACAUAUAAUGUUGAACAUUAUAAAUCCUAUAUAUCAUCGUUUCAUUUAUAAAUUAACAGCGUAUAAUUAUAUUGUCUUCUUUUUUCAAGAAAAUUUAUGAUUUUGUUCAUACGUCAAAUCGACGCGUAGAGAUAGGAAUAUAUAGGAAAUGUGAGUAAACCUAACGUUGAAGAUCUGUUUCGUGUUCGUUUCAGCGAGACCACACUAGCGCCAAGACGAAGCUUCUUCGUUUUAAAUUUCUCGCCAAUCGCAUUGUGUUGCGUUGGAGUUUCUCUUUUACGUGAAAAAGCCAAUUACCGACUUCCAUCUCGAGAGGUUCUGUCUCGAGAUAAAGAAAAUUACUUUUCUAUUAUAUCGGCUUCUCUUAUACUUGAAAAGGCAAUCAUUGAUUAUCUCAAAAUGAAAAAAAAGAUGAAGAAGAGAUAACUGACUGUCUCAAAAUAUAAAAUAAAAAUUUUCUCGAGUCCUAUCCGACCAAUCAGGUACCCGGGUACUCGCAAUCAGAAAAAUACCUGAUGCAACCUGCUUGAACACUCUACUCGUGUCACCCGAUGUUUACAAUAUUUCGAAGAAUUUAUAUUUCUGACUCAAUCGAAUAUCUAAAUGAAAUAUCUUCAUUUUUGUACCGAAAUACCAACAAGUUAACGUUCUCAGCAGGUAGACUGGCUGGCUUCAACAUUUCCACAUAUUUUCAGCUGUUGAAAACACAUUGGCAAAGGUUGCUAAGAUGUACUUGUGUAUACAAGUUGCAAGCUCUCAACGUGUAGUUCCAACAGCUGACAAUAUCGUCAACGUAUAGCCUAACAACAUACUACUCGAGAAUGUUGAUUCGUUGGCAUUUCCGUACAGAACUAAUGUCUACUUUAAAAUGAUCGUUUGACUGUCUAUCAAAAACACAUAGAUAGAAACAUUGUGAACGCCUGUGACACGAGUAGGGUACUCGAGUGAAACAUAGCAAGCAUCCGAGUAGCGAUAGCUCUACUCUCGGCUAUCUCAUCUCUGUGGACAAGAACAGUGAUAAAGCACGUGGCUAAAUUUGAAUCAUUGCAACCAGCCGCGCUGAGAACAGCUGAGAAUGCAGCGCGGUGUAUCAGCAGCGAAAGUCUAAGGAAACAGCCAAUUAGGCUACCAACGAUCCAAGAGGAAAUUAAGAGGAAUGGAACGAAGCGUGAGAAAAGAGUCGCACAGCGUCCUAAUCAACUAGCCCUGCAGGCCUACAAAGCCAAGACUAAACGAAGAUGAAAAAACAAGCAUCCUACUGACCUGCUAAUCUCAUGAGAUGAUACAAGAUGACAUGUUCUUUUUCCUACCGGGAAUAGUCAUCCAGGUGAUAAUUUAUAAAGAAUAUGGAAGAAUUUGCCGAAUGUCCAAUAGGACAAACUGUAGAGAGAAAUAACUAAGUUUAGAAAGAGAAGCAUGUCAUGUACCUGGUGGUGAUGUUUCUCACCCAGGCAUCUCAUAAGUAGACUGCUGGUUCUUACGCAAUUACAGUUCAACUGGAAAGCGUAUGAUAUGGAAAAACAUGCGAGAUACCCAAAGUAUAGUGUCAUAAUAUUUAGCGAUUGAAAUAAGUGUUUCAUUAGGUUCCGUUUCUUUAAUUGUAGGAACAAACAAAUAUGAAUUUGCAUAAAUCCGCAGUCUGCUCACAAGUAACAAUUCUACUUGAAAGUUAUUGAAAUCCUACACAUUUUUCUGCUUGUCAUUCGCUGAAAUGAACACCAUACAGUUACGAAUAGGUCGAGUUGCUCUUUACUUCUAUUCUUUUCUUUUUGCCAAUUCUCAGCUUUUAUGGAGACUUUACUGUAUCACCUAAUCGACGAGUGCUCGUGGAAAACAUUGCAAGUGCCAAGCAACAGAUACUCGGGAGGAGAAGAGAACUUAUAGUAUUAAUAUAACGGAAAUUCAUGAAGAAGAGAAGUGUAUCUUCUAGGAAACUCAAUGUUCCAUUCAACUGAAUGAAGACAGAUGGCAUAACAAAAGCUAGGAAACAAUUAUCUGCUCUUUAUUAGCAUUCAUAUGUUUUUGCAUAGAGAUGAGGUUGUCACGUCACCUUUGAGCAUUAUUAAUAACAAUUUAGAAAGACAUUGCACUUGAAUUCUACGCUACAGCAUUCUCAUUGGUAGGUAGAACAUUUUUCAGUAAAAAGUUCCUAGUGUUUUCCAUUCUGACACUCACAGUGUUUUCUACAAACGGUAUUCAAUUAAUGGAAUGUAUCUAAAAUUCACAUCUAAGCGAUAUUUAGUCAUUUAGUUAUUUUCUGGAAAUUGAAACUGAAACAGUUUCUCCUUUGAGGCUAUAAGAAUGAUUGCCAUAAGAAAAUAAAUGAGAAUUCAUAGCGAGCUAUGAUCUAACAGAAAAAAUAAGUCAAUAAGCGAGAUUAGAUCGUAUGACGAUCAAAAGAUAUAUAAUCGUUAAGAAGAUGUGAGAAACGAAUGAAUAAAAUAUUGAAGAAGAAUCGAAGUAGUAUAGUGUUAGUGGAGGAACCGUAGACCGAGGCUUGCAACAGGCUGUCUGUACAACAAUCUUAAUAACAUGAUAUGCAACAUUUAUAUUCUAAUCUUAGAGUCAGUAAAAACUAUGCGCUGGGCACGAAGCUCUCUGUUCCACGCGUUAAAAAACGAAUAGAAAAACCUUCGGAAAAAGUGCGUAACAAUAAGGAAAUGAAAACCGUCCACGUGCGAGACGAAAAUAUCGGAAUUAGUUUGUUUUCCUAUCUCUUUCGUGGUUAAUGAGUCUGGCGUUUUUAAAAAAUUUGAUUCGUCGCAGUCGUUGCGACCCCGGCACUAUUGUAAAACGGUAUGUAAAUAUACUUAUUAUAAUAAUAUAUAGCUGCAUCUGUGAUUUGAUUGUAAAUCGUGAGGUAAGGAGCCUGUGUGAAUGGCGCGAUCAACUCGAGAAACGUUCCCACUUUCCUCGAACUCGGAGUCUACCGUAAAACUUCCAACAAUCUUAUAAUUACACACUCAAUCAUAUAAUUACAAUAUGUAAGAAGCUAAGAAGAUUUAAAAGAAAAAAGAAAAAGAAAUCGAUAUUUGAAAUUUUGAUAUUUAUAUUCAAUAAUUAAAUAUUUCAAUGUUUAAAUCAAUGAAAUAAGAAAUAAAAGGAAAGAAUAAAAUUGAAAUGAUGAUCUGGUUAAUAGAAAAGAAAGAAGAUCGAGAAUUUUGAAAAUUACUACUUAGGUAAUAAUAAUUUGAAUAACUAUGAAAUUGAUGGAAAUUUUAGACUCUAACGUAAAGUAUAUAGUGAAACAUUUGUCGAGAACAUCGCGCUCACGGAACUAUUGUCAUCUGUAAAAUAUAAUAUAAAAGAUCCUGAGUUGUACUGUGUGGUACUAUGGCUAUGGAGUUCGGCGGUGACUGAGAUGGCUUUAUCUUUCCUCUUUUCUCUUCAAAUAAUACAUACAGAAUAUUGUACAAGUUCUAGGAAAACUAAAUAUCCUGCAAUGCCGAAAUAAAAUAUAAAAUACUUCACCUUCUAUGUAUCAUAAUGUCUACAUACUUUAAGAUACUGACAAACAAAUUUAAAAAUUAGUGUCACUUAAUAAAGUAGGUAGGCUGAUUAAUUAUACAUGUCACUUAUGUUAACCAGUAACUUAACGUGUUAAUAAUCAGUUUGCAUAGAAGUAUUUUCAAAAAUCUAGAUAUCUACUAGAUAUCUACUAAACGCAUUUACUAAGAUAAUAAAAUAUUUAUAAAUUGUUAUCGCUAUAAAGUUUUAUCAUAUAAUAAAGCAUUAAUAAAAAAGAAAAAGAUUCAACUUGGUCUAAAAGAUUGAUUAAAGAUUGUAAAAUAUAUGAUUAACGUUAUUAAAUAAUAAAUUGCUGGUCGAUAAAGCAAUACAUUUUAUAAAAUAAUACUCUAUAAAUCACUUGGGACAAACUAUUCCGUUAUUUCUAAAUUAGUAAUAUAUGUUUUCUAAGCAUAUAGUUAAUUUGUAAUAUCAAUACGUUAAAGUUUCAAAUAUAUCAUUGUUUAACAAAGACAAAAUGAGAAUAAUAAAAAUAAUAAUACUGUUUACAAGAAAUUCACUUAAUGGAGAAACCAAUAUUUCAAAAAUCAAUACCAUUAAAAAUAAUUGGUUAAUGUAGUAAACAUGACAGCGGUGAAAGUAAAAUACAGAAAUGCAAUGUUUUAUGGUGAUGUUAAAAAGUAAUUUCAAAGAAUUAAAAGAAAUUCCAAAGAAGUUGGAUUGUACGUAAUUUGCUAAAACUAUGGAGAAAAGUGAUAAAUUCAGCUCUGUAAUAUCACAUUAGAGCGUAUAAAAAAAUUAGCAAGAAAAGCCAUCUCGGGCACAGGCCUCUUAUAAUAUAUUAAAUUCAAUCUGCUGCAUCACGGUGGUUUCCCAUCGAUAACUGUCAAUAAUAAAUCCUCUGUAAAUCUGCUUGAGCUGUAAAAUCGGUUGGCUGUCUAUUGCACCGUUAAACUGCUAUGCGGUGAAAAAUAUAUUAUAAUAUGUUCGUACGUCAUCCUGGGAGUUUCUGUGCGUGUCACCCAGUCGUGUGACGCAAUCGAUAAAGUAAAUAUAAUCCUCUGUAAGAAUAUAAUAUCGUUGUAAAUAUCUGUAGUCUGUAUAACACUGUAUAGCAUCAAAUAAAACAACAAGUUAUCCUGGCUCGCGGAAUAAUCAGUACGAGGUGGGAUGGCUGUUCCACUUGCGGCGGUUAUUUGUGAUUUCUCUCUUG
Long non-coding RNA from Bombus huntii, 20806 nucleotides. RefSeq lists it as uncharacterized. The transcript has 2 exons. NCBI's taxonomy places the organism in Eukaryota, Metazoa, Arthropoda, Insecta, Hymenoptera, Apidae. The record is from RefSeq and is a predicted model, not a curated record.